CAGGGAAUAGUUUAUUUAAAAUAUUAGUUUUGGAGGCUAGUGAUAGGAUUUUUCUUUUCCUUGA
RNAcentral lists this transfer RNA (64 nucleotides) under Paraneotermes simplicicornis. RNAcentral describes it as "tRNA-Pro". Lineage: Eukaryota; Metazoa; Arthropoda; Insecta; Blattodea; Kalotermitidae. The record is from RNAcentral.